RNAcentral lists this ribosomal RNA (253 nucleotides) under uncultured bacterium. RNAcentral describes it as "partial 16S ribosomal RNA". It matches the Rfam family "Bacterial small subunit ribosomal RNA", at positions 524 to 776 of the family's 1533-position model. The record is from RNAcentral.
GACAGAGGUCCCGAGCGUUAGGCGGAAUCACUGGGCUUAAAGCGUGUGUAGGCGGAUCUGUAAGUACCUUGUGAAAUCCCUCGGCCCAACCGAGGAACUGCGCCCGAGACUGCUUCUCUUGAGUCCCGGAGAGGAGGGUGGAAUUCCCGGUGUAGCGGUGAAAUGUGUAGAGAUCGGGAGGAACACCGGUGGCGAAGGCGGCCUUCUGGACGGUGACUGACGCUGAGGCGCGAAAGCGUGGGGAGCAAACGGG